Molecule: ribosomal RNA, 512 nt
Filed under: Cophinforma mamane
Lineage: Eukaryota; Fungi; Ascomycota; Dothideomycetes; Botryosphaeriales; Botryosphaeriaceae
Description: eukaryotic LSU rRNA
Rfam family: 5.8S ribosomal RNA (bases 186-339)
Source: RNAcentral
CAUUCCGAGUUGAUUCGGGCUCCGGCCCNAUCCUCCCACCCUUUGUGUACCUACCUCUGUUGCUUUGGCGGGCCGCGGUCCCCCGCGGCCGCCCCCCCUCCCCGGGGGGUGGCUAGUGCCCGCCAGAGGACCAUCAAACUCCAGUCAGUGAACGUCGCAGUCUGAAAAAACAUUCAAUAAACUAAAACUUUCAACAACGGAUCUCUUGGUUCUGGCAUCGAUGAAGAACGCAGCGAAAUGCGAUAAGUAAUGUGAAUUGCAGAAUUCAGUGAAUCAUCGAAUCUUUGAACGCACAUUGCGCCCCUUGGUAUUCCGAGGGGCAUGCCUGUUCGAGCGUCAUUACAACCCUCAAGCUCUGCUUGGUAUUGGGCACCGCCCUUCUUCGGGCGCGCCUCAAAGACCUCGGCGGUGGCUGUCUUGCCUCAAGCGUAGUAGAAUACACCUCGCUUCGGAGCGCAGGGCGUCGCCCGCCGGACGAACCUUCUGAACUUUUCUCAAGGUUGACCUCGGAU